GCGCAACCCUUGCCUUUACGUUGCCAGCAGUUCGGCUGGGCACUCUAAAGGGACGUGCCGGUGUUAAACCGGAGGAAGGUGGGGAUGACGUCAAGUCCUCAUGGCCUUUAUGACCAGGGCUACACACGUACUACAAUGGCCGAUACAAAGGGCAGCGACAUCGCGAGGUGAAGCCAAUCCCAUAAAAUCGGUCUCAGUCCGGAUUGGAGUCUGCAGCUCGACUCCAUGAAGUUGGAAUCGCUAGUAAUCGUGGAUCAGCAUGCCACGGUGAAUACGUUCCCGGGCCUU
This 288-nucleotide ribosomal RNA is filed under the name uncultured Desulfobulbus sp. RNAcentral's name for it is "partial 16S ribosomal RNA". It matches the Rfam family "Bacterial small subunit ribosomal RNA", at positions 1096 to 1382 of the family's 1533-position model. The record is from RNAcentral. Lineage: Bacteria; Pseudomonadati; Thermodesulfobacteriota; Desulfobulbia; Desulfobulbales; Desulfobulbaceae.